CCUACGGGAGGCUGCAGUAACGAAUCUUCCGCAAUGCACGAAAGUGUGACGGAGCAAUGCCGCGUGCAGGAUGAAGCCCCUCGGGGUGUAAACUGCUGUCAGGGUUUAGGAACACAAUGACCAGACCCAAAGGAAGAGGCGACUAACUCUGUGCCAGCAGUCGCGGUAAUACAGAGGCCUCGAGCGUUAAUCGGAAUCACUGGGCUUAAAGCGUACGUAGGCGGGCGCGCAGGCAUCUUGUGAAAUCCCACGGCUUAACCGUGGAACUGCUUGGUGAACCGCGCGUCUAGAGUCAGGUAGGGGCCGCCGGAACGAUAGGUGGAGCGGUGAAAUGCGUUGAUAUCUAUCGGAACGCCAAAGGUGAAGACAGGCGGCUGGGCCUGCACUGACGCUGAGGUACGAAAGCGUGGGGAGCAAACGGGAUUAGAUACCCUUGUAGU
Molecule: ribosomal RNA, 440 nt
Filed under: uncultured bacterium
Lineage: Bacteria
Description: bacterial SSU rRNA
Rfam family: Bacterial small subunit ribosomal RNA
Source: RNAcentral